RNAcentral lists this long non-coding RNA (839 nucleotides) under Physcomitrium patens. RNAcentral describes it as "long non-coding RNA (PPAT_LNC003432)". Lineage: Eukaryota; Viridiplantae; Streptophyta; Bryopsida; Funariales; Funariaceae. The record is from RNAcentral.
CAUUGGCAACCCUUCUUUCUGGAUCCCAAGUGUACACUAGAUAGAGAACUCGAAUGGUACCUACAAAUUAUGAUGCCAGUGAGUCUAUUUUGGCGUCAAAUUAGAAUACCUCUGAUGUUAGGGUUUUGGCAGGCUUUUGCCAACAAAACAGGCGACAGCGAUUGCUCAACUCAACGGCAGAACCGAAAAACUAAUCAUGGAGUUGGUCAAGGAUCGGAUGGAUGCAGUACAGAAAGUAGAAAGAGAAUCUUACGGCGACGAUAUUCUUGGUCGUAUGCUGACAGCAACUGAUAGAUUUGAUGGAAGCUUCCACAAAUUUAGCCUCGACGCUGUUAUAGACAACUGCAAGAAGUUUUUCUUCGCUGGCACUGACUCAGGAGCAAAUUUAACCACCUUCCCGUUGUUGAUCCUAGCAAAUUAUCCAGAAUGGCAGGACAAAGACCCUUGUGAGAUGAACGACAUCUCUAGGCUCAAAAUUGUAAGCAAUCGUUCCUGGAAAUAUUGUUAAUUACUCUUUCUUGCCCCGUAAAGGACGAUUCAGUGGUAGUGACAAGGUUUGCACUAAGAUUAGUACGUGAUUGGUGCAGGCGAGGAUGAUAUCUCAAGAAAUAGCGCGAAUUUUUGCAGUGUCACCGUCAAUAGCUAGAUUAGCCGUUAAGGAUUGCGAAUUAGGCGACCUGUUAAUUCCCAAGGGUUUAGUCAUCGAAAUCGCGACUUUGGCAAUGCACCGUGACCCAGAGCUUUGGGGAAAGGAUGUAGCCGAGUUCAGACCUGAGAGAUUUGCUAAUGGAGCAUCGGCAGCUUGCACUCAUCAUCAAGCAUUCCUUCCCUUCGGAGCU